GUAGUACUCCCUCCGUUCGGAAUUACUUGUCGCGGAAAUGGAUGUAUCUAGAGGUAUUUUAGUACUAGAUACAUCCAUUUUCGUGACAAGUAAUUCCGAACGGAGGGAGUACAUG
Non-coding RNA from Triticum aestivum (bread wheat), 115 nucleotides. Lineage: Eukaryota; Viridiplantae; Streptophyta; Magnoliopsida; Poales; Poaceae. The record is from Rfam.